This 126-nucleotide small RNA is filed under the name Marmota monax (woodchuck). The record is from RNAcentral. Lineage: Eukaryota; Metazoa; Chordata; Mammalia; Rodentia; Sciuridae.
GCUGGGCAUGGUGGCACACACCUGUAAUCCCAGCCACUUAGGAGGCUGAGGCAGGAGGAUUGCAAGUUUAAAGCCAGCCUCAGCAAAAGUGAGGCGCUAAAUCAACUCAGUGAAACCCUGUCUCUA